RNAcentral lists this long non-coding RNA (518 nucleotides) under Nicotiana tabacum (common tobacco). Its description in RNAcentral is "long non-coding RNA (NTAB_LNC012538)". Lineage: Eukaryota; Viridiplantae; Streptophyta; Magnoliopsida; Solanales; Solanaceae. The record is from RNAcentral.
AAAGAAAACUGGAUUUUUCUUUUUUCUUUUUUAUCUUUUUCUGGAAUCAACCAUAAGAAAAAUGAAAAGAGUAAAAAAAUAUCAAACUCCAAAGCCAAACCCCAAUUUUUUUCUCCCCCUUUUCUGUCCGAAAAUCCCCUAUAUAUAGGGAUCCUAGAAGCUUCUUCUCCUAAAAAUUCGAAAAUUAUCUCUCAAAAUAACUUCCAAGAACACUGAAAAAUCCCGAAAAUCUUCAUAAAACAAAAAUCGAAAAAAUGAAAGGCGUGGAUCGGCUUUCACUCACAUCCAACCGCUCCCAUUUAUCCGAGAUUUGUUCAAACAAACUAAAGCGCGUGAGGGAGAAGGCGGAUUCGAUUUGGGUGAAAUCAUUAGCGAAUAUCCUGAGUUUGCUAUCAUUGCUAUGCGGAAGAAGGAGAAGAGAGGGGGGGGGGACCAUGGGGUGAUCACUGGGUGAACUCGCCGGGUUUGGGCGAGUUCCGGCGAGUUUGGAGGCGGGCAACGAUAAGGGUUGCGGCUGG